UUCCGUAGGUGAACCUGCGGAGGGAUCAUUACCGAGUUUACAACUCCCAAACCCCUGUGAACAUACCACUUGUUGCCUCGGCGGAUCAGCCCGCUCCCGGUAAAACGGGACGGCCCGCCAGAGGACCCCUAAACUCUGUUUCUAUAUGUAACUUCUGAGUAAAACCAUAAAUAAAUCAAAACUUUCAACAACGGAUCUCUUGGUUCUGGCAUCGAUGAAGAACGCAGCAAAAUGCGAUAAGUAAUGUGAAUUGCAGAAUUCAGUGAAUCAUCGAAUCUUUGAACGCACAUUGCGCCCGCCAGUAUUCUGGCGGGCAUGCCUGUUCGAGCGUCAUUUCAACCCUCAAGCACAGCUUGGUGUUGGGACUCGCGUUAAUUCGCGUUCCCCAAAUUGAUUGGCGGUCACGUCGAGCUUCCAUAGCGUAGUAGUAAAACCCUCGUUACUGGUAAUCGUCGCGGCCACGCCGUUAAACCCCAACUUCUGAAUGUUGACCUCGGAUCAGGUAGGAAUACCCGCUGAACUUAAGCAUAUCAAUAAGCGGAGGAA
Molecule: ribosomal RNA, 546 nt
Filed under: Fusarium sp. Dzf18
Lineage: Eukaryota; Fungi; Ascomycota; Sordariomycetes; Hypocreales; Nectriaceae
Description: eukaryotic LSU rRNA
Rfam family: 5.8S ribosomal RNA (bases 180-333)
Source: RNAcentral